This 778-nucleotide ribosomal RNA is filed under the name Triticum aestivum (bread wheat). RNAcentral's name for it is "partial small subunit ribosomal RNA". Lineage: Eukaryota; Viridiplantae; Streptophyta; Magnoliopsida; Poales; Poaceae. The record is from RNAcentral.
GGUUUUAAAAUCGCGCUUCAGACCGGGUCGGGCGCUUUACAAAAAAAAGGGUUUAGUGAAGUUAGGGGUGCUUCCCGGUUUAGGGGGUCGGUGCGGCGGUUUAGGGAUCUAGGACGGGCGGGACGCGGCAGGAGGCGGUAAGGUGGCGGCGGGGUGCGGAGGGUGCUGGAGGCGAUGCGGCAGGACGGGCGGGACGCGGCAGGACGGUCGGGGCACGGCAGGACGGAGACAACGCGGUGGUGCGCGGCAGUACGGAGACGGCGCGGCGGGGCGCGGCAGGAUUGACGGGACGCGACGGGGCGCGGCAGGGCACGGAGGGACCGGCGGGACGCGGCGAGGCAGCACGGGUAGGUAGAGGCGGGGCGUGGUAGGACGGGCAGGUAGCCGCGGGGCGCGUCAAGGCAGGACGUGUAGGUAGCCGCGGGGCGCGAGCAGGCAGGCUCACCGACGAAGUUGAACAUUGGCCCGUCGCACGUAUACUCCAACGUGUCUCUUGGUAACAACCAUGGUAACUCGUCUCCUUCUUCUCAUCGUCUUAGUAACUUUUCUGUAUGUUUUCCUCGCCCUUCCUUGGUCCUUCUACAGUCAAACGUAGUCGAUCUCUAAAAGACAUUGUCUCGUUUUUGUUACGCAGAAAAUCCAGAGUAAAACAUUUGGAUAUACAGUAGAACAGUGGACCCAUAAAACACAUUACCUCGUUUGUUACUUAUAACCUCUACGUAGAUAGUAAAAUAUUUGGACAACCCACUAAGCCAGCAACUUGGCAUUUACAAAGGAA